RNAcentral lists this ribosomal RNA (229 nucleotides) under uncultured bacterium. Its description in RNAcentral is "partial 16S ribosomal RNA". It matches the Rfam family "Bacterial small subunit ribosomal RNA", at positions 568 to 796 of the family's 1533-position model. The record is from RNAcentral.
UCCGUAGGCGGGCAAUUAAGUCAGAGGUGAAAUCCCACAGCUCAACUGUGGAACUGCCUUUGAUACUGGUUGUCUUGAGUUAUAGUGAAGUAGAUAGAAUAUGUAGUGUAGCGGUGAAAUGCAUAGAUAUUACAUAGAAUACCGAUUGCGAAGGCAGUCUACUAACUAACAACUGACGCUAAUGGACGAAAGCGUGGGGAGCGAACAGGAUUAGAUACCCUGGUAGUCC